GAGUUCCAUGGGCUGUACAGGACAAGGUGUCACACUCUGCGCAGCACAGGGUGUCACACACAGCCCAGGACAGUGUCACACACUGCAAAACACAGAGUGUCACACACUGCCCAGGACGGUGUCACACACAUUCCAGGACAGUGUCACACACUGCCCAGGACGGUGUCACACACAGCCCAGGACGGUGUCACACACAGCCCAGGACGGUGUCACACACUGCACAGUGUGUCACACACAGCCCAGGAUGGUGUCACACACUGCACAGUGUGUCACACACAGCCCAGGACGGUGUCACACACUGCCCAGGACAGUGUCACACACAGCCCAGCACAGGCAGAGCCCGGGCAGCUCC
This 352-nucleotide long non-coding RNA is filed under the name Zonotrichia albicollis (white-throated sparrow). RNAcentral describes it as "lncRNA (ENSZALG00000001793.1)". The record is from RNAcentral. Lineage: Eukaryota; Metazoa; Chordata; Aves; Passeriformes; Passerellidae.